This is a non-coding RNA of Vicia faba (fava bean), 255 nucleotides long. The record is from the annotation of a GenBank genome assembly. NCBI's taxonomy places the organism in Eukaryota, Viridiplantae, Streptophyta, Magnoliopsida, Fabales, Fabaceae.
AUGGCAGUCAACAUACAAUAUGGAGUGUCUUACUUGACACAAGUGACCAUUUCAAACUUGAAUAGAGAAGCGAAGAGCCAAGCCAUUAAGAUGGCUAGAGCAGAGGCUUCUAGAGCACGUGAAGACGAAGUGAAUUCGGGUAAGACGGGUACUUCCACUGUUCCUUCUAGUGUCCAUCAUAGUGCUAGUGGUCAUUAUGAUGAUGACUCUGAGGGUCAGUCAUUGGAUCUAGAAGGAAUGAGUGAUGGAUGUUGA